This is a small nuclear RNA of 168 nucleotides. Its record names the gene U1. It matches the Rfam family "U1 spliceosomal RNA". Rfam says of the family: U1 is a small nuclear RNA (snRNA) component of the spliceosome (involved in pre-mRNA splicing). The record is from Ensembl.
AUACUUACCUGGCAAGGGAGAUACCAUGAUCAAGAAGGUGGUUCACCCACAAGUCUGAGGCUCAGCCAUUGCACUGAGGCUGUUGUGAAUUGCGGACAGAACCCAAAUGUGGGAAUCUCGAUUGCAUAAUUUCUGGUAGUGGGGGACUGCAGUUGCCGCUCUCCCCUG